GCAGCUGAGCAGUUUAAUUCACUUCAGUUUUAAACCAAACAAAGAUGCUCUCCUCAGUGCUGCUGCUAACAGCUGCAUUCUGUGGUGUUGGAGGUGUGGAGCUCACUCAGCCAGCCUCUGUACUUGUGAAACCUGGAGAGUCGUUCUCUAUCUCUUGCAAGACUUCAGAGUCAAGCUAUUGUAUUGGCUGGAUACGUCAACCUGCUGGGAAAACACUUGAAUGGCUCGGAUAUCUGUGUAGUGGUGGUAGCACUAAUCUCAAAGAUACAAU
Molecule: long non-coding RNA, 271 nt
Organism: Silurus meridionalis
Lineage: Eukaryota; Metazoa; Chordata; Actinopteri; Siluriformes; Siluridae
Exons: 2
Source: RefSeq, a predicted model, not a curated record